GCGCUGGAGAACUGAGGGGGGCUGCUCCUAGUACGAGAGGACCGGAGUGGACGCAUCACUGGUGUUCGGGUUGUCAUGCCAAUGGCACUGCCCGGUAGCUAAAUGCGGAAGAGAUAAGUGCUGAAAGCAUCUAAGCACGAAACUUGCCCCGAGAUGAGUUCUCCCUGAGACUUUAGAUCUCCUGAAGGAACGUUGAAGACGACGACGUUGAUAGGCCGGGUGUGUAAGCGCAGCGAUGCGUUGAGCUAACCGGUACUAAUGAACCGUGAGGCUUAACCUUACAACGCCGAAG
This 292-nucleotide ribosomal RNA is filed under the name Salmonella enterica. Its description in RNAcentral is "partial 23S ribosomal RNA". It matches the Rfam family "Bacterial large subunit ribosomal RNA", at positions 2651 to 2925 of the family's 2925-position model. Lineage: Bacteria; Pseudomonadati; Pseudomonadota; Gammaproteobacteria; Enterobacterales; Enterobacteriaceae. The record is from RNAcentral.